RNAcentral lists this transfer RNA (73 nucleotides) under Hordeum vulgare. RNAcentral's name for it is "tRNA-Asn". It matches the Rfam family "tRNA". From Rfam's summary of the family: Transfer RNA (tRNA) molecules are approximately 80 nucleotides in length. Their secondary structure includes four short double-helical elements and three loops (D, anti-codon, and T loops). Lineage: Eukaryota; Viridiplantae; Streptophyta; Magnoliopsida; Poales; Poaceae. RNAcentral also lists the same sequence under 1 other name. The record is from RNAcentral.
UCCUCAGUAGCUCAGUGGUUAGAGCGGUCGGCUGUUAACUGACUGGUCGUAGGUUCGAAUCCUACUUGGGGAG